AGAUUUCGGUCCUAUGCAAUAUGAACCCAUGAACCAUGUCAGGUCCUGACGGAAGCAGCAUUAAGUGGAUCAUCAUAUGUGCCGUAGGGUAGCCGAGAUUUAGCU
Molecule: signal recognition particle RNA, 105 nt
Filed under: Staphylococcus aureus
Lineage: Bacteria; Bacillati; Bacillota; Bacilli; Caryophanales; Staphylococcaceae
Description: Small cytoplasmic RNA (scRNA, 4.5S RNA), signal recognition particle (SRP) as predicted by Rfam
Rfam family: Bacterial large signal recognition particle RNA
About the family: The signal recognition particle (SRP) is a universally conserved ribonucleoprotein involved in the co-translational targeting of proteins to membranes. Archaeal SRP consists of a 7S RNA and homologues of the eukaryotic SRP19 and SRP54 proteins. In most bacteria, the SRP consists of a 4.5S RNA and the Ffh protein (a homologue of the eukaryotic SRP54 protein).
Source: RNAcentral